RNAcentral lists this long non-coding RNA (1577 nucleotides) under Homo sapiens (human). RNAcentral's name for it is "HSALNT0120157". The record is from RNAcentral. Lineage: Eukaryota; Metazoa; Chordata; Mammalia; Primates; Hominidae.
UUAUUAGGAACCUUUCCACCAAUAUUGAUUGAGCACUUACUAAAUGCUGGGCAUUUUCCUCAUGUCGCCACUUUAUGGAUAAAAUUGAGGUAUGAUAAGGGAACUGGAGCUUCCCUGUCACACUACAAGGGGCGGGGCAGAGGGUCAGAGCCAGGUCUGGUUCCAAGGCUUGUGUUCCUUGGUGUUUAAUCUGUUAGGAGGGUAGGACUGAGUCACUAACCCUCCCUCUGGCGCCAAUAGCCACUCCUGCCCUUCCUCUUCCUUUCUGAACAAGAACUGACUGGUUCAAACGAACUACAAGGUUUCAGACUUCAGAUUCAUUCUCUGUCUCUCUUUCUCUUUCCUUCUGUGUCUUUCUGUUGGUGGAGAGGCUGGAGAUAAAAGGACAAUGAAGUUUAGUAGCAGCUGUGUACCCAGUUUUCUGUGGUUCAGUUGCACAUACGCCUUGCCUGGAGGUGGGAGGUGCGUGGAUAACUGGAGACAUUAUUAAAGAGGCUCAUGAGAAGAGGAUGGAGGUUGAUCCUGGUUUGGGAAGCUUCCAGCUUGGAAUGAUUACAAUAGAAAGAAGCUGUUCUCCUGAUUCUUCCUGAUGCUGACACACCUUCUCUUUUUAAAAACAAUAGCAUGGCACCUUUGAUUACUGUUAUAAAGUCCAGAGGUCUUCAGACUGGGGCACACCCACCCAGGGGGGUAUAUAAAGACUUUGUAAGGGGCACUUGGGCAUCGAAGUGUUGGGUUAUGUGUCCUCAACUUUCCUAUCGUCGAGUUCCUAAAACAGACUUGCAUAAGAACCUCUGGGCUGGGAGUUAUUUACCCUCUCCUACAUCUCUUCCUUUCUAUCAUCCUUUUGCUACUCUACAAAGGAAAGGCACCACCCUCCCCCAUCCCAAAUCUUACUAAAGUAUAUUGCCUGGGUGUAGAAACCUUUAUGAUAGCAAAGGGACAAUUUCAUUUCAUAAUACAUAUUUAUUAAAUACCUAAUAUAUACCAGGCACAGUUCUGGAUGAUGAGUUACUGCAGUGAACAUAACAGUAAAACAUUUCUGUCCUCAUGGGGCUUCCAUUUUAUCAGGAAGAGAUGGGCAAGAAGCAAAAAAGAUAUUAUCCAUGCUGCUUCUUUCAAUUAAGGCCCUAAAAUUUUCCCAUUAACCUGAUGAAGAAAUACAUUUCCGAAAAAUUUUCCUGGUUAUGUUUAGUAAUUAUCAAAACUUACAAAGUUACAUUAUUUUGAUCAGUUGUAUACUAGUAAUAAUUAUAAUGAAGACUCAAUCUAGCAAAAUUAAUACUUGGAAAAUCAUGGCAAUGGGAAAUUAAAUUUAAAUCACAAUUUAUAUAUGUAUUUUGAUUAUAGAGAAGUAUAAUAAUCAGUAAAAAGGCUUUAAGUAUAAAAAAUUACAUCAUAAGGCCGGGCGCGGUGGCUCAUGCCUGUAAUCCUAGCACUUUGGGAGGCCGAGGCAGGCGGAUCACGAGGUCAGUAGUUUGAGACCAGCCUGACCAACAUGGUGAAACCCCGUCUCUACUAAAAAUACAAAAAUUAGCCAGGCGUGGUGUCAUGCGCCUGUAAUCUCAGCUACUCAG